ACUCCUACGGGAGGCAGCAGUAGGGAAUCUUCCACAAUGGGCGAAAGCCUGAUGGAGCAACGCCGCGUGGGUGAAGAAGGUCUUCGGAUCGUAAAACCCUGUUGUUAGAGAAGAAAGUGCGUGAGAGUAACUGUUCACGUUUCGACGGUAUCUAACCAGAAAGCCACGGCUAACUACGUGCCAGCAGCCGCGGUAAUACGUAGGUGGCAAGCGUUAUCCGGAUUUAUUGGGGCGUAAAGGGAACGCAGGCGGUCUUUUAAGUCUGAUGUGAAAGCCUUCGGCUUAACCGGAGUAGUGCAUUGGAAACUGGGAGACUUGAGUGCAGAAGAGGAGAGUGGAACUCCAUGUGUAGCGGUGAAAUGCGUAGAUAUAUGGAAGAACACCAGUGGCGAAAGCGGCUCUCUGGUCUGUAACUGACGCUGAGGUUCGAAAGCGUGGGUAGCAAACAGGAUUAGAUACCCUGGUAGGAUAGCG
This 474-nucleotide ribosomal RNA is filed under the name uncultured bacterium. Its description in RNAcentral is "bacterial SSU rRNA". It matches the Rfam family "Bacterial small subunit ribosomal RNA", at positions 335 to 799 of the family's 1533-position model. The record is from RNAcentral.